CCUUUUCCUGUUCUUGAGAGGGCCUCUCAAGAACAGGAAAAGGUAGAAAAUUCGCUUUAUAUGAAAACCCCCAAAACACUCGACACCAGAACAAGUCCUUUUUGGUCUCAAACGCAUCGAAACAGCUGGAAACCACAGAUUUAACCUCUGCUGGAAACAGCAGAGAAGCAUAUAGCAGAAAAAACCACAACAGAGAGAAGCAAAGCAAAUAGAAAGAGUUGAACAAGCGGAAGGAAUAAACCAGAGCUGCGACAGAGCCCCAAUCAAAGGCCAAAUCAAAACUAGCCGACAUAAAUCCGCUACUGAGAACACAGAACCUCUCGAGUUCUAGCUUCCUUCAAGCAGAGAACAAAAAGCCAAGCGAAAGAAUGAGCUAGUGAUAAAUAUAGUGAAACAGCUAAACCCCUCGGUGUGAUAAAUAAAUAACUAAAUAAAUAAAAUAAAAGGGGUUACGAAUCUACGGCUACGAUUUCGCUCUUCAGAACAUUGACAACCAUCAAUAGAUAGUUAUUAUCGUUCUCACAAAGAAUUAACCAUAGUUAAACCUCACUGACACAAUGGAG
Molecule: unclassified non-coding RNA, 563 nt
Filed under: Hevea brasiliensis (rubber tree)
Lineage: Eukaryota; Viridiplantae; Streptophyta; Magnoliopsida; Malpighiales; Euphorbiaceae
Source: RNAcentral